This 497-nucleotide ribosomal RNA is filed under the name uncultured bacterium. RNAcentral describes it as "partial 16S ribosomal RNA". It matches the Rfam family "Bacterial small subunit ribosomal RNA", at positions 28 to 507 of the family's 1533-position model. The record is from RNAcentral.
GAUGAACGCUGGCGGCGUGCCUAAUACAUGCAAGUCGAGCGAACAGAUGAGGAGCUUGCUCCUCUGACGUUAGCGGCGGACGGGUGAGUAACACGUGGAUAACCUACCUAUAAGACUGGGAUAACUUCGGGAAACCGGAGCUAAUACCGGAUAACAUAUUGAACCGCAUGGUUCAAUAGUGAAAGACGGUUUUGCUGUCACUUAUGGAUGGAUCCGCGCCGCAUUAGCUAGUUGGUAAGGUAACGGCUUACCAAGGCAACGAUGCGUAGCCGACCUGAGAGGGUGAUCGGCCACACUGGAACUGAGACACGGUCCAGACUCCUACGGGAGGCAGCAGUAGGGAAUCUUCCGCAAUGGGCGAAAGCCUGACGGAGCAACGCCGCGUGAGUGAUGAAGGUCUUCGGAUCGUAAAACUCUGUUAUUAGGGAAGAACAAAUGUGUAAGUAACUAUGCACGUCUUGACGGUACCUAAUCAGAAAGCCACGGCUAACUACGUG